Molecule: transfer RNA, 76 nt
Filed under: Stegodyphus mimosarum
Lineage: Eukaryota; Metazoa; Arthropoda; Arachnida; Araneae; Eresidae
Description: tRNA-Ile for anticodon AAU
Rfam family: tRNA
About the family: Transfer RNA (tRNA) molecules are approximately 80 nucleotides in length.
Source: Rfam by way of RNAcentral
GGCCCGUUAGAUCAGUUGGUUAGAGUGUCGUGCUAAUAACGCGAAGGUCGUGGGUUCGAUCCCCCCGCACGGGCCA